Molecule: ribosomal RNA, 922 nt
Filed under: uncultured Enterobacter sp.
Lineage: Bacteria; Pseudomonadati; Pseudomonadota; Gammaproteobacteria; Enterobacterales; Enterobacteriaceae
Description: bacterial SSU rRNA
Rfam family: Bacterial small subunit ribosomal RNA
Source: RNAcentral
GGGGCGGCCGGCGGCCUACACAUGCAAGUCGAACGGCAGCACAGAAGACGUCUUGUGUCUCUGUUGGGUGGCGAGUGGCGGACGGGUGAGUAAUGUCUGGCAUGCUGGCCGAUGGAGGGGGAUAACUACUGGAAACGGCUGCUAAUACCGCAUAACGUCACACGACCGAAGUGGGGGACCUUCAGGCCUCACACCGUCGGAUGUGCACGGAUGGGAUUAGCUAGUACGAGGUGUAACGGCUCAGCUAGGCGACGAUCCCUAGCUGGUCUGAAAGGAUGACCAGCCACACUGGAACUGAGACACGGUCCAGACUCCUACGGGAGGCAGCAGUGGGGAAUAUUGCACAAUGGGCGCGAGCCUGAUGCAGCCAUGCCGCGUGUAUGAAGAAGGCCUUCGGGUUGUAAAGUACUUUCAGCGGGGAGGAAGGCGACGCGGUUAAUAACCGCGUCCAUUGACCUUGCCCGCACAAAAAGCACCGGCUAACUCCGUGUCCGCGCCCGCGGUAAUACGUAAUGCUGCAAUCGUUAAUCGUUAAUUACUGUUCGUGAAGCGCACGCAGCUCGGUCUGUCAAUUCUUGAUGUGAAAUCCCCGGGCUUAACCUGGGAACUGCAUUCGAAACUGGCACGCUAGAGUCUUGUAUAGGGGGAUAGAAUUCCAAGUGUACCUGUGAAAUGCGUAUAGAUCUGAGAUGAAUACCGAUGCCAAAGGCGACCCCUGGACACAAGACUGACACUCACGUUCAAAAGCGUGAGCAGCGAACAGCGAUUAAAUACACUGGGACUCCACGCCCUAGACGAUGUCUACUUAGAGGCUGGUGCCCCUGAGAAGUCGCCUCCCUCACCUAUCCCCCUUAGUCAUCCCCCCGCCCGACUACGGGAGGCCGGGUGGGAACUUAAUAAAAUGUCUAGUGGGCGGCCCGCG